GGCCUUGACAUACUAAGAACUUUCCAGAGAUGGAUUGGUGCCUUCGGGAACUUAGAUACAGGUGCUGCAUGGCUGUCGUCAGCUCGUGUCGUGAGAUGUUGGGUUAAGUCCGCAACGAGCGCAACCCUUUUCCUAUUUCGCCAGCGGGUAAUGCCGGGAACUUUAAGGAUACUGCCAGUGACAAACUGGAGGAAGGCGGGGACGACGUCAAGUCAUCAUGGCCCUUACGGCCAGGGCUACACACGUGCUACAAUGGUCGGUACAAAGGGUUGCCACCUCGCGAGAGGAUGCUAAUCUCAAAAAGCCGAUCGUAGUCCGGAUCGCAGUCUGCAACUCGACUGCGUGAAGUCGGAAUCGCUAGUAAUCGCGGAUCAGAAUGCCGCGGUGAAUACGUUCCCGGGCCUUGUACACACCGCCCGUCACACCAUGGGAGUUUGUUGCACCAGAAGUAGGUAGUCUAACCGCAAGGAGGACGCUUACCACGGUGUGGCCGAUGACUGGGGUGAAGUCGUAACAAGGUAAGCGUAGAUGA
RNAcentral lists this ribosomal RNA (532 nucleotides) under uncultured bacterium. Its description in RNAcentral is "bacterial SSU rRNA". It matches the Rfam family "Bacterial small subunit ribosomal RNA", at positions 977 to 1509 of the family's 1533-position model. The record is from RNAcentral.